CACGCCGUAAACGAUGUCGACUUGGAGGUUGUGCCCUUGAGGCGUGGCUUCCGGAGCUAACGCGUUAAGUCGACCGCCUGGGGAGUACGGCCGCAAGGUUAAAACUCAAAUGAAUUGACGGGGGCCCGCACAAGCGGUGGAGCAUGUGGUUUAAUUCGAUGCAACGCGAAGAACCUUACCUGGUCUUGACAUCCACGGAAGUUUUCAGAGAUGAGAAUGUGCCUUCGGGAACCGUGAGACAGGUGC
Molecule: ribosomal RNA, 246 nt
Filed under: uncultured Enterobacteriaceae bacterium
Lineage: Bacteria; Pseudomonadati; Pseudomonadota; Gammaproteobacteria; Enterobacterales; Enterobacteriaceae
Description: partial 16S ribosomal RNA
Rfam family: Bacterial small subunit ribosomal RNA
Source: RNAcentral